UACGGGGGGGGCAAGCGUUGUUCGGAUUUACUGGGCGUAAAGGGCGCGUAGGCGGCGCGACAAGUCACUUGCGAAAUCUCCGGGCUUAACCCGGAGCGGCCAAGUGAUACUGUCGUGCUGGAGUGCGGAAGGGGCCACCGGAAUUCUCGGUGUAGCGGUGAAAUGCGUAGAUAUCGAGAGGAACACCUGCGGCGAAGGCGGGUGGCUGGGCCGACACUGACGCUGAGGCGCGAAAGCCAGGGGAGCGAACGGG
This 253-nucleotide ribosomal RNA is filed under the name uncultured bacterium. RNAcentral's name for it is "partial 16S ribosomal RNA". It matches the Rfam family "Bacterial small subunit ribosomal RNA", at positions 524 to 776 of the family's 1533-position model. The record is from RNAcentral.